This 430-nucleotide ribosomal RNA is filed under the name Bacillota bacterium. RNAcentral describes it as "Firmicutes bacterium partial 16S ribosomal RNA". It matches the Rfam family "Bacterial small subunit ribosomal RNA", at positions 355 to 776 of the family's 1533-position model. The record is from RNAcentral. Lineage: Bacteria; Bacillati; Bacillota.
UGGGGAAUAUUGCGCAAUGGCCGCAAGGCUGACGCAGCGACGCCGCGUGUGGGAUGACGGCCUUCGGGUUGUAAACCACUGUCAGGGGGGACGAAUACCCGGCCUCGAAUAGGGGACCGGGGGGGACGGUACCCCCAGAGGAAGCACCGGCUAACUCCGUGCCAGCAGCCGCGGUAAUACGGAGGGUGCGAGCGUUGUCCGGAAUCACUGGGCGUAAAGGGUGCGUAGGCGGCUACUUAAGUCGCGUGUGAAAUCCCGGGGCUCAACUCCGGGGCGGCACGCGAUACUGGGUGGCUGGAGCUCGGUAGGGGCGAGUGGAAGUCCCGGUGUAGCGGUGGAAUGCGUAGAUAUCGGGAAGAACACCGGUGGCGAAGGUGGCUCGCUGGGCCGAUGCUGACGCUGAGGCACGAAAGCGUGGGGAGCAAACAGG